AGCAGCCGCGGUAAUUCCAGCUCCAAUAGCGUAUAUUAAAGUUGUUGCAGUUAAAAAGCUCGUAGUUGAAUUUCGGGAUCAGUACGUCGGUCGUGCCUUCGGUAUGCACUGGUGUCACUGGUUCCUCCCUUCUGACGAACCGUCAUGCCAUUAAUUUGGUGUGGCGGGAAAUCAGGACUGUUACUUUGAAAAAAUUAGAGUGUUUAAAGCAGGCUCACGCUUGAAUACAUUAGCAUGGAAUAAUGAAAUAGGACGUUGUUCUUAUUUUGUUGGUUUCUAGGAUUGACGUAAUGAUUAAUAGGGAUAGUUGGGGGCAUUAGUAUUCAAUUGUCAGAGGUGAAAUUCUUGGAUUUAUUGAAGACUAACUACUGCGAAAGCAUUUGCCAAGGAUGUUUUCAUUAAUCAAGAACGAAAGUUAGGGGAUCGAAGACGAUCAGAUACCGUCGUAGUCUUAACCAUAAACUAUGCCGACUAGGGAUCGGAUGAUGUUAAUUUUUUAAUGUACUCAUUCGGCGCCUUA
This 520-nucleotide ribosomal RNA is filed under the name uncultured Glomus. RNAcentral's name for it is "SSU rRNA". It matches the Rfam family "Eukaryotic small subunit ribosomal RNA", at positions 569 to 1090 of the family's 1831-position model. Lineage: Eukaryota; Fungi; Glomeromycota; Glomeromycetes; Glomerales; Glomeraceae. The record is from RNAcentral.